RNAcentral lists this transfer RNA (85 nucleotides) under Glycocaulis albus. RNAcentral describes it as "tRNA-Leu". It matches the Rfam family "tRNA". From Rfam's summary of the family: Transfer RNA (tRNA) molecules are approximately 80 nucleotides in length. Their secondary structure includes four short double-helical elements and three loops (D, anti-codon, and T loops). Lineage: Bacteria; Pseudomonadati; Pseudomonadota; Alphaproteobacteria; Maricaulales; Maricaulaceae. RNAcentral also lists the same sequence under 5 other names. The record is from RNAcentral.
GCGGGUGUGGCGGAACUGGUAGACGCGCUGGAUUUAGGUUCCAGUGGAGCAAUCCGUGGAGGUUCGAGUCCUCUCACCCGCACCA